This is a long non-coding RNA of Passer domesticus (house sparrow), 532 nucleotides long. RefSeq lists it as uncharacterized. The record is from RefSeq and is a predicted model, not a curated record. The transcript is spliced from 3 exons. NCBI's taxonomy places the organism in Eukaryota, Metazoa, Chordata, Aves, Passeriformes, Passeridae.
CCAUCCCAUCCCAUCCAUCUCCUAGGGACAUUCCCAUGGACAGAACCGAAGGGGGAUGGCAAGUUCAUUGAGCAGAGACCCCCAAGAGUUCCCAAGCUGGCCUGGGUGGAGAAGGAGGAAGAAGAGCCUGAGCCUGAACCUGACCCAGAAGUGGAGACUGAGGAGGUUGUGCCGAUCCAGCUGCUGCAGGAUGACACGUGUGUGACGGCAUCGGAUACUACUGGUGGGAAGGAAAACUGGGAAUGGCUCCGGCGGCUCCGCAAUCUCCACCAAGCUCAGCAUCCUGUCUGGAGAGCUCUACAACUCAGGACUACACAAAAACAUGUGGAAAAAUCAAGGAACUCAGGCGCACAAUGGAAACAAAGUGAAUAAAGAUGGGCAAAACCAGCAAAGCAUGAACAGGAGGAGACUUCCAGCCCAUUCAGAAAGGAAAAGUAGGAUUCUCUUUGAAAAAAAUUCCAGUAGCAUUUUAAAAAAAACCUAAAAUCUUCCUAAAUAAAACCAAAAUUUUGGGCCCUCCCAGGCCCUGGUA